UCUAUACUAUAGAGUUUGAUCAUGGCUCAGAUUGAACGCUGGCGGCAUGCCUUACACAUGCAAGUCGAACGGCAGCGCGGAAUGGGGCAACCCGGCCUGGCGGCGAGUGGCGAACGGGUGAGUAAUAUAUCGGAACGUACCCUGGAGUGGGGGAUAACGUAGCGAAAGUUACGCUAAUACCGCAUACGAUCUAAGGAUGAAAGUGGGGGAUCGCAAGACCUCAUGCUCCUGGAGCGGCCGAUAUCUGAUUAGCUAGUUGGUAGGGUAAAAGCCUACCAGGCAUCGAUCAGUAGCUGGUCUGAGAGGACGACCAGCCACACUGGAACUGAGACACGGUCCAGACUCCUACGGGAGGCAGCAGUGGGGAAUUUUGGACAAUGGGCGCAAGCCUGAUCCAGCAAUGCCGCGUGAGUGAAGAAGGCCUUCGGGUUGUAAAGCUCUUUUGUCAGGGAAGAAACGGAUCUUUCUAAUACAGAGGUCUAAUGACGGUACCUGAAGAAUAAGCACCGGCUAACUACGGUGCCAGGCAGCCGCGGUAAU
RNAcentral lists this ribosomal RNA (540 nucleotides) under uncultured Janthinobacterium sp. Its description in RNAcentral is "bacterial SSU rRNA". It matches the Rfam family "Bacterial small subunit ribosomal RNA", at positions 1 to 524 of the family's 1533-position model. Lineage: Bacteria; Pseudomonadati; Pseudomonadota; Betaproteobacteria; Burkholderiales; Oxalobacteraceae. The record is from RNAcentral.